Molecule: ribosomal RNA, 492 nt
Filed under: uncultured bacterium
Lineage: Bacteria
Description: partial 16S ribosomal RNA
Rfam family: Bacterial small subunit ribosomal RNA
Source: RNAcentral
AGUGAACGCUGGCGGUAGGCCUAACACAUGCAAGUCGAACGGCAGCACAGUAAGAGCUUGCUCUUACGGGUGGCGAGUGGCGGACGGGUGAGGAAUACAUCGGAAUCUACUUUUUCGUGGGGGAUAACGUAGGGAAACUUACGCUAAUACCGCAUACGACCUACGGGGGAAAGCAGGGGAUCUUCGGACCUUGCGCGAUUGAAUGAGCCGAUGUCGGAUUAGCUAGUUGGCGGGGUAAAGGCCCACGAAGGCGACGAUCCGUAGCUGGUCUGAGAGGAUGAUCAGCCACACUGGAACUGAGACACGGUCCAGACUACUACGGGAGGCAGCAGUGUGGAAUAUUGGACAAUGGGCGCAAGCCUGAUCCAGCCAUACCGAGUGGGUGAAGAAGGCCUUCGGGUUGUAAAGCCCUUUUGUUGGGAAAGAAAAGCAGCAGGUUAAUACCCCGCUGUUCUGACGGUACCCAAAGAAUAAGCACCGGCUAACUUCGUG